AGGGGUAUAGCUCAGAGGUAGAGCGCUCGCUUUGCAUGCGAGUGCCCCGGGUUCGAUACCCGGUACCUCCA
Molecule: transfer RNA, 71 nt
Filed under: Dermacentor andersoni
Lineage: Eukaryota; Metazoa; Arthropoda; Arachnida; Ixodida; Ixodidae
Description: transfer RNA alanine (anticodon UGC)
Rfam family: tRNA
About the family: Transfer RNA (tRNA) molecules are approximately 80 nucleotides in length. Their secondary structure includes four short double-helical elements and three loops (D, anti-codon, and T loops).
Source: RNAcentral